UAUAGAGCUUGAGAUCGAGAGAGAGACGUGGAAUUCCCGGUGUAGUGGUGGAAUGCGUAGAGAUCGAGAGGAACAUCAGUGGCGAAGGCGACGUCCUGGCCCGCACCUGACGCUCAGACGCGAAAGCGUGGGUAGCGAACGGGAUUAGAUACCCCGGUAGUCCACGCUGUAAACGGUGGAUACUAAGUGUUGGUGGCUAUCGUCAUCAGUGCCGUAGCUAACGCGUUAAGUAUCCCGCCUGGGGACUACGGCCGCAAGGCUAAAACUUAAAGGAAUUGACGGGGGCCCGCACAAGCAGCGGAGCGUGUGGUUUAAUUCGAGGCUACACGAAGAACCUUACCUGGACUUGACAUACACGUAGUAGUGAAGCGAAAGCGGAACGACCCUUCGGGGAGCGUGAACAGGUGCUGCAUGGCUGUCGUCAGCUCGUGCCGUGAGGUGUUGGGUUAAGUCCCGCAACGAGCGCAACCCUUGCCGUUAGUUACAAGUGUCUAACGGGACUGCCGGUUUAAUGCCGGAGGAAGGUGGGGAUGACGUCAAGUCCGCAUGGCCUUUAUGUCCAGGGCUACACACACGCUACAAUGGCCGAUACAAUGGGUAGCCAAGCCGCGAGGCGGAGCUAAUCCUCUAAAGUCGGCCUCAGUUCGGAUUGCAGGCUGCAACCCGCCUGCAUGAAGUCGGAGUUGCUAGUAACCGCGCGUCAGCCAUAGUGCGGUGAAUACGUUCCCGGGCCUUGUACACACCGCCCGU
Molecule: ribosomal RNA, 750 nt
Filed under: uncultured bacterium
Lineage: Bacteria
Description: bacterial SSU rRNA
Rfam family: Bacterial small subunit ribosomal RNA
Source: RNAcentral